GCUGGGUAUGGUGGUGCAUGCCUGUAAUCCCAGUGGCUUGGGAAGCUGAGGCAGAAGGAUCACAAGUUCAAAGCCAGCCUCAGCAAUUUAGCAAGGCACUAAUUAACUCAGUGAGACCCUGUCCCUA
RNAcentral lists this small RNA (127 nucleotides) under Marmota monax (woodchuck). Lineage: Eukaryota; Metazoa; Chordata; Mammalia; Rodentia; Sciuridae. The record is from RNAcentral.